GUAUGGCUUUGGCAGCACAGAUACUAAAAUUGGAAUAAUACAGAGAAGAUUAGCAUGGUUGCUGCACAAGGAUAAUGCACAAAAUUGUGAAGCAUUCCUUAUUUUC
This is a small nuclear RNA of Myotis daubentonii (Daubenton's bat), 106 nucleotides long. Lineage: Eukaryota; Metazoa; Chordata; Mammalia; Chiroptera; Vespertilionidae. The record is from RefSeq and is a predicted model, not a curated record.